Molecule: ribosomal RNA, 301 nt
Filed under: uncultured bacterium
Lineage: Bacteria
Description: partial 16S ribosomal RNA
Rfam family: Bacterial small subunit ribosomal RNA
Source: RNAcentral
CAGCCGCCGCGGGAAAACGUAGGGUGCGAGCGUUAAUCGGAAUUACUGGGCGUAAAGCGUGCGCAGGCGGCUUUGCGAGACAGAUGUGAAAUCCCCGGGCUCAACCUGGGAACUGCAUUUGUGACUGCAAGGCUAGAGUGCGGCAGAGGGAGAUGGAAUUCCGCGUGUAGCAGUGAAAUGCGUAGAUAUGCGGAGGAACACCGACGGCGAAGGCAAUCUCCUGGGCCUGCACUGACGCUCAUGCACGAAAGCGUGGGGAGCAAACAGGAUUAGAUACCCGUGUAGUCCCUGUCUCUUAUAC